AAGACGCAAUAAGCAGCCCUCCCCGCACUGACCCAGCUCUUACCUGUGCACUUGUAGGAGGGAGGCCGGCAAGUCAUCUCUGCCCAUUCCUCCCUUUCUUUUUAUAGGAUCCCUCCUGCCCUCGUGGCUUGCUUUCCCAGAAGUAAGGGAAAUGAAACUAAUGGCUUGCCCUAGAAACGAAACCAUUAGCCUGCCACAGAAAUGAAACCUGAAGCGUCCAUCCAUUUCCUGCUGCUUCACACAGUGAUCCUGACUUCAGCUGCAUCAGUCUCCUGGUGGGCUCGUGAACCACAGGGAGGGGCGGGGUGGGGGGGCGCGGGUAACGGGGCUAACAGGUUCUCCGGCAGGCCGGGGCUGACCACACUUGGAGAAUGGGUCACUUAGCAUGGCGCUGCCCAGGCCUUUCUGAGAUUCUGUGUGCUGCCACUCUCUGCCCGUAUUAAGCUCUGAACAUUCCAGGAAGGGACAUCCACAGCUCCUCCACAGCAUCCUUCAUGGUGGAUGCCUUUGCAGCUCCAGGAAAGGCACAGGGAAGACACUGCAGAGGCCAGACAAAGUGGGACCACUUCCAUGGAGGCAGCGAGGGAAGUUCGCUAAGGAGGUGGCUGAGGACCCACCCUCCCCAGCAGUACAGCAGCGCCCCUCGGCAUGCCCUUCAGGAAGUCUCUCUGGGAAGGAUCAGGGCCUCAGCAGCAUCAAGAGACCAUGCAGUGUCUCCCCCACUAAUGGCUUGAGGAGGUGAGGAACUGGGAGCCUGUGCACAGGGACCCUCCUUCAGCCUGGCCCCCAUGCUCAGAAUUGAGCCUCCACUGCCCUGCAGCCCAUCUACAACCAUGGAGGACUCAGCACUGCUGUCAGCCACUGAGACUUGGGGAGUCGGGUCCUGCAAGGAUGCUGAAAUUCAGGGUGACACAUACUGCCAUGUUUUUAAAAGGAGGCCUGCUGAUAAACGUACUUGAAAACCGUUCAAAAAAAAAAAAAAAAAGAAAACCGUUCAUCUGUUCCAACCCCUCUAUGGAUAGAUGAGAAACUGGAGGCUGGAUAAGCACUAUCAAGCUGGCAUCAAAGUCUCCUAUCGUUUCUGGGAGCCAGAUUUGGGAGGGAGGUCAGAAAGAGCAUUUGGCAAUGACUUGGUUUUCUUAACCCCAAGGCACUGGGCAUCUUGGUAUGUGGAUCUACUGUGUGUCUCCUAGGAAGUCUGGGUUGUACAGUGGUCCUCCUGAGAGCAGCCCCUGCCCACCCAGCCCAUCAGAGAUCCCUCCUCCCCAUCCUGUUAAACAAGGUGCCACUGGAGCAACACCCCUGCAUGGAGGCAGACACUGAAUCUCUUCACCAUCAUAUUGCUUGUGCCUGAGUUAGGCGCACCCACAUUUGUGGGAUGAAUGAAUAAGUUCAGGGACCUGCAGGGAGAGCUCAAGAAGGUUGACCCAAGAAGGUAGCUAAGCCCUAUGGCUGCUGCUCAUUGUCCCUGUGAGAUGACCGUCCAUAACAAGGGUGUGCUCCGUGGUCGGAGAAUAAAGGUUUUCUCUCUGCAGAGCUAUCUGGACCA
This is a long non-coding RNA of Bos mutus (wild yak), 1549 nucleotides long. The record is from Ensembl. NCBI's taxonomy places the organism in Eukaryota, Metazoa, Chordata, Mammalia, Artiodactyla, Bovidae.